CUGCUGCCUCCCGUAGGAGUCUGGACCGUGUCUCAGUUCCAGUGUGGGGGGGCCUUCCUCUCAGAACCCCUACGCAUCGUCGCCACGGUGGGCCGUUACCCCGCCGUCAAGCUAAUGCGCCGCAUGCCCAGCCGCCACCGGAUUCCUCCUUUCGCCCGGACCGGAUGCCCGGUCCGGGCGGCAUGGGGUAUUAGGCCGGGUUUCCCCGGGUUAUCCCCCUGUGGCGGGCAGGUUCCAUACGUGUUACUCACCCGUGCGCCGGUCGCCGGCAGGUGCAGG
This 279-nucleotide ribosomal RNA is filed under the name uncultured bacterium. Its description in RNAcentral is "partial 16S ribosomal RNA". The record is from RNAcentral.